UACGGAGGGGGCGAGCGUUGUCCGAAUUUAUUGGGCGUAAAGAGCGUGUAGGCGGCCAGACAGGUCAGCUGUGAAAACUCGAGGCUCAACCUCGAGACGUCGGUUGAAACCGUCUGGCUAGAGUCCGGAAGAGGAGAGUGGAAUUCCCGGUGUAGCGGUGAAAUGCGCAGAUAUCGGGAAGAACACCCGUGGCGAAGGCGGCUCUCUGGGACGGUACUGACGCUGAGGUGCGAAAGCGUGGGGAGCAAACAGG
Molecule: ribosomal RNA, 253 nt
Filed under: uncultured bacterium
Lineage: Bacteria
Description: partial 16S ribosomal RNA
Rfam family: Bacterial small subunit ribosomal RNA
Source: RNAcentral